CCUUUGACGUUAGCGGCGGACGGGUGAGUAACACGUGGGUAACCUACCUAUAAGACUGGGAUAACUUCGGGAAACCGGAGCUAAUACCGGAUAAUAUUUCGAACCGCAUGGUUCGAUAGUGAAAGAUGGUUUUACUAUCACUUAUAGAUGGACCCGCGCCGUAUUAGCUAGUUGGUAAGGUAACGGCUUACCAAGGCGACGAUACGUAGCCGACCUGAGAGGGUGAUCGGCCACACUGGAACUGAGACACGGUCCAGACUCCUACGGGAGGCAGCAGGG
RNAcentral lists this ribosomal RNA (279 nucleotides) under uncultured Staphylococcus sp. RNAcentral's name for it is "partial 16S ribosomal RNA". It matches the Rfam family "Bacterial small subunit ribosomal RNA", at positions 83 to 354 of the family's 1533-position model. The record is from RNAcentral. Lineage: Bacteria; Bacillati; Bacillota; Bacilli; Caryophanales; Staphylococcaceae.